This 443-nucleotide ribosomal RNA is filed under the name uncultured bacterium. RNAcentral describes it as "partial 16S ribosomal RNA". It matches the Rfam family "Bacterial small subunit ribosomal RNA", at positions 338 to 795 of the family's 1533-position model. The record is from RNAcentral.
CCUACGGGGGGCAGCAGUGGGGAAUAUUGGACAAUGGGGGGAACCCUGAUCCAGCGACGCCGCGUGAGUGAAGAAGUAUUUCGGUAUGUAAAGCUCUAUCAGCAGGGAAGAAAGAAAUGACGGUACCUGACUAAGAAGCCCCGGCUAACUACGGGCCAGCAGCCGCGGUAAUACGGAGGGGGCAGGAGUUAACCGGAUUUACUGGGGGUAAAGGGAGCGUAGACGGUUACGCAAGUCUGGAGGGAAAGGCGGGGGCCCAACCCCCGGACUGCUUUGGAAACUGUAUAACUGGAGUGCAGGAGAGGUAAGUGGAAUUCCUAGUGUAGCGGUGAAAUGCGUAGAUAUUAGGAGGAACACCAGUGGCGAAGGCGGCUUACUGGACUGUAACUGACGUUGAGGCUCGAAAGCGUGGGUAGCAAACAGGAUUAGAUACCCUAGUAGUC